UGGGGAAUUUUGGACAAUGGGGGAAACCCUGAUCCAGCCAUCCCGCGUGUGCGAUGAAGGCCUUCGGGUUGUAAAGCACUUUUGGCAGGAACGACACGUCAUGGGUUAAUACCCCGUGCAACUGACGGUCCCUGCAGAAUAAGCACCGGCUAACUACGUGCCAGCAGCCGCGGUAAUACGUAGGGUGCAAGCGUUAAUCGGAAUUACUGGGCGUAAAGCGUGCGCAGGCGGUUCGGAAAGAAAGAUGUGAAAUCCCAGAGCUCAACUUUGGAACUGCAUUUUUAACUACCGGGCUAGAGUGUGUCAGAGGGAGGUGGAAUUCCGCGUGUAGCAGUGAAAUGCGUAGAUAUGCGGAGGAACACCGAUGGCGAAGGCAGCCUCCUGGGAUAACACUGACGCUCAUGCACGAAAGCGUGGGGAGCAAACAGG
Molecule: ribosomal RNA, 429 nt
Filed under: Acidobacteriota bacterium
Lineage: Bacteria; Pseudomonadati; Acidobacteriota
Description: Acidobacteria bacterium partial 16S ribosomal RNA
Rfam family: Bacterial small subunit ribosomal RNA
Source: RNAcentral